AUGAGCAAAAUCUCAACUUUAUUAGAAGAGACGCAUUUAUUAGAUAAAAAGCCAAUGCAUGCUUUUACAGUAUGAAAAUUGGUGAUUUAUAAUAACUUAGCAAAUCGCAUAGUGAAAACAGGCGAUAAAUCAUUCAAGUUUCUGACCUAUCAGCUUUCGACGGUAUGGUAUUGGCUUACCGUGGCAGUGACGGUUAACGGGGGAUUAGGGUUCGAUUCCGGAGAGGGAGCCUGAGAAACGGCUACCACAUCUAAGGAAGGCAGCAGGCGCGCAAAUUACCCAAUUCUAACAGUUUGAGAGAGGUAGUAACAAGAAAUAACAAUACAAGGCAGUUAAAAUGCUUUGUAAUUGGAAUGAUAGAAAUUUAAACCCUUUUUAAAGUAUCAAUUGGAGGGCAAGUCUGGUGCCAGCAGCCGCGGUAAUUCCAGCUCUAAUAGCGUAUAUUAAAAUUGUUGCAGUUAAAAAGCUCGUAGUUGAAGUUCUGCUAAAAGUAACCGGUCUGCUUUGAAUAAAAGUGGUAUCUUGGUAUGUAUUUAGCAAUGAUGUCCUUUGAAGUGUUUUUUACUUUAUUGUAAUAAAGCAUAUUCAGGACUUUUACUUUGAGAAAAUUAGAGUGUUUCUAGCAGGCCAACGCUUUGAAUACUGCAGCAU
This 651-nucleotide ribosomal RNA is filed under the name Hepatozoon canis. Its description in RNAcentral is "bacterial SSU rRNA". It matches the Rfam family "Eukaryotic small subunit ribosomal RNA", at positions 171 to 810 of the family's 1831-position model. Lineage: Eukaryota; Apicomplexa; Hepatozoidae. The record is from RNAcentral.